Molecule: transfer RNA, 62 nt
Filed under: Calotes mystaceus
Lineage: Eukaryota; Metazoa; Chordata; Lepidosauria; Squamata; Agamidae
Description: tRNA-Lys
Source: RNAcentral
CAUUAGGAAGCUUGCAACAGCACUAGCCUUUUAAGCUAGAGAAUGGAACCUUCCACCAGUGA